Vicia villosa (hairy vetch) is the source of this 2706-nucleotide long non-coding RNA. RefSeq lists it as uncharacterized. The record is from RefSeq and is a predicted model, not a curated record. Lineage: Eukaryota; Viridiplantae; Streptophyta; Magnoliopsida; Fabales; Fabaceae. The transcript is spliced from 3 exons.
AGAACAAUUACAUUGUCUUCUACACUCUUUCAUUUCCCAAAUUUAUACUUCACUUUUAGUUUUGAAAGUCGUAUACUUGUCUCUCUCUUCCUCUCUUCUCGUCUCUUUUGUUCUCCCACAACCCUAGCAAAACGAAUACUUUUCCCUUCAUCAUUGUUCAUCUCUCUCGUCAGAUCCGGUAACCUCCGCACUCCCUUCAUCAAGCUUGGCAAGCUCGACGUACUUCCAGUCUUGUCAAAGGUAAAUACAUCUUCAAUGGCAGUAAUGAUGCGAUUUCGGCAGGGUAUAUCCGAUUCUGGCGACGGGACUCGUAGAUUCAUGGUCUAUUAACUGUUACAGGGGUAAGAUUUUCAAUUUCUUCUGGUUUUCCAUUUCAGGGUUUAUUAUCACAAAACUUUAAUGUACUUUAUUUGUCUCUUAAACUAUUAUUAUUUUAGGGUUUGUUAGGUAUGAAUGAUUAUGGUUUGAAAUUUGAAUGAUUUUGAGAUAUGAAUCAUUUGAGUAUAUUUUUCACGUUUCUUAAUAAAAUGUAUCUUUAAGAGAAGGAAAUAAGGCGUCUGCAUCUGCUACACCAAUGACUGCAAGAAAGAUAGAAAGCUGAUAAUGCACAGAAAGAUGAUAAUACACCAGUUGCAGCCACUGAGAAGAAGGGGAAUGAUUUCCGCCAUGAAAAAGAUAGAAAUAAAGAUGAUAGUCAACCAAGCUUGAAGUAUCAUGACAAGAGCUGGGUGGAGAAAGCUAAACAUCAUUCUGUAGCGAAACAAACUAAAGUUAGUAACAAAGUUGAGUUGUUAAGGCAUAAAGGUAUAUUAGUCACAUAAAAUUUAAACAUAUCUUUUGCCACAUUAGGUUUGUAGGUUUGUAUUUAGCUUUUUCAUUGUGGCUUAUUGAUAUUAUAGGCUUUUGUAUAUGGGCAUUUUCUUAGUCAUUUGAGUAAAUUUUACAGGUUUGUUGAUGUUGUUAUAACUAUUCCCAAAGGAACUUUGUUCCCUAUGUGCGGUAUGAAUCCGGAGUUGGUGGUCGGGAGAAGCCGGUAAUUUUCCAUCUUUGGAUAUUCUUGUGUCACUGGUAUUUAUUUUAAUUAUUUGUUUUGAUAACAGGAAACUAAACUUUAUCAUGUUAAGACUAUUGGAUUUCUUGGGGAUGUCUUUGGUUUUUCACUAAAAAUGUGCAAAAAGAACCUGAUAUGGGUUGUAAAUCGAAUGCAAGUUGCCAUCUAACUGUUUUCUCCUUUCACAUAUGUAUAGAACAAAUAUGUCUAACAGAUGUUGAUCAUGUCAUCUUCCCAGCCAUAAGGAUGCAAAAGACCAUGAACUUUUACUUUCAGGUAAGGAAGAAAGUGUGAAAUGGAGAUCACUUAUGGAGAAACAUGCUCAAGAUAGUGUUUUAUGGUGUUAUAAGCACAAGCUUGAACUGAGCAAGUUUAUCAUUGUUUUGAGAUUUAUCAAUUUCAAGACUAAUCAUCUUCGUUGCCGAGCUAUAUCAAAGAAGAACUAUUUCCCAGCUCAUUGCCAAGCCCUAAUGGCCAGCCUGCCAAGAAAUAGUAUUGUGUAUAUUGACAGAUAGCAAAUUUGUAUGUGGAUCCUGUGAUUAGACAUUCAGCAAGGUUUUAUAAGUUGUUUCAAUGGGUUUGCUAUGGACAUUUUCAAAGCCGAGGUAAAAAAUGGUUUUGUUAUCUCAUGGAAGGUAUACACGUAAUAAUGAAAAUCGCUUCCAUUGUUCAAAGUUGUUUAUUUCUUGUGAUUGAGGUAUGAAAAUGAAAACUAACCUCCUUUCUCUUGCAGCAAUGCAAAGAAGAUCAAGAUGUUCAUCUAGAGCAAAUCAAAGCGGUACUGUUGGAUUCAGCUGGUGUAAUUCCUUAUGGCCGGAGACGCAGUUGGCCUGCUCAACUUAUUUCGCUGUAGUAAGAUGCCAUGUAUUAUGCAUGGCAUGCUACAUAAGAUGACUAAUGGUUUUCUAGCAAUUAGGGGGAAUUAGUGGAGUUCGCUUUUAUACUAGCAGUAUUUUUGAUCUAGCAUAUAUUUAUGUAAUGGUAAAUUUUUAUACAAAGUCUGGCACUAUUUACUUAUCAACUGUUCUAAUAAAAAAGAUUGAAAAAUUCUCUAGCCAUCCUGCAAGUUUCUUUUUAUAUACGUGGUCAUACCUUUAUUUUUGUUGUUUACUAAUUGUUUUUAAUUUAACUAUCAGGGAUCUGUCCAGUGUACUAAAGAUGGCAUGUAUAUUCUUUUGACAAAAUCUGUUGGAAAGAGUAUAUUUUGUCAAACACAUCUCCUUGGUUCAUAAUAGUUCCAAUAAUACUACUUUACACACUUUUUUAAAUACUUGGAAUUGGAUACAAUUGGAAAUAACGUGACAUAAGUUUAAGUUGUUUUUAAUAGAAUAAAACUCUAAAAUAGCUUAUUGAAAGAGAGCUUAAAUAGAUAUCUAUUCAAGGGCACUCACAGUCCUUUACUUUUUCCCCUCUAAUCUUUGUGAACGUGAAUUUCAUUCAUUUUCUCCAUUGUUAUAUCUAAUUUGGUUUUUGUUAACACAUUAUGUGGUUAUGAAAUUAAUUGGUUCACACACGACUGUACUGAUGAAAAUUUCCCCCUCUAAUCUUUGUGAACAUGAAUUUGGUUUUCCAUCUUGGAAUAUCUUUGAAUAUAUGGUUUUCAUCUCUUGAAGUCUUUGUUAAUUGUAAUUUUUUUUAUGUUUUUGGACUUAAAG